Molecule: ribosomal RNA, 1110 nt
Filed under: Triticum aestivum (bread wheat)
Lineage: Eukaryota; Viridiplantae; Streptophyta; Magnoliopsida; Poales; Poaceae
Description: partial small subunit ribosomal RNA
Source: RNAcentral
AUGUCGGAGACCACCGCCGUGCCGUUAUCGAACGACACCAUCUUCGACAUCCUCUGCCGGACGCCGUUUAGGUCCGUCUGCCGAUUCCGAUGCGUCUCAAGGGGGUGGCCCGACCUCAUCUCCGCCCCGGACUUCGCCGCGGCGCACAGGUCCCGCCACGGCCCGCUCCUCGUCGACACCGGCUACUUUCGACAAGAAAAACCCGCCGCAGGCCGUGAUAUGCGUCUCAUGGACAUGGAAGGCAACGUCAUCAGAGUCAUCAGGGUCGUCGGAGGUUUUGGGAUCACGUGCUCGUCGAGCCUCGACGACCUCAUCGCCGUCAGCCGCGGUCCGUCAAACGGCAUCCAUGUAGUAGAUCCGGCCACCGGGGAGGUUCUCCUGACCUGCCCACCAAUGGAGGUGAAGACACUCGAAGUGCAUCCAUUCAUUGCCAUGGCUCGCUAUGAAAUCUAUGGCUUCGGCCGUGCCAUUUCGUCUGAUGAAUACAAGGUGGUCCGCAUUGCCAAGGACAAAAGAACUUGUGAGGUCCUCACUUUAGGAGACGACCCAUCAUCAGCCUGGAGGCGGACGCUGCCGCCUCCGAUCAGUGUGCCCACUGAUGUGGGUUCCCCGGUCGCUGUCAAUGGCAUUAUGUACUUCUUGGCAGAUGAGACGCGUGAAACCUUGUUGUGCUUCGACAUCGAGAGCGAGCAAUGGAAGGCCAACAUGAUCAAAGGGCCACGGAAAGGCAAUCCCCUAGAGAUGCGGAGGAAAACAGCAGCAAUCUGUAUAAGCGAGCUCAACGGCGCUCUGUGCAUGGUUAUAGCCGAAAAACAAGACAGUCGAAGCACAAACAUAUGGACACUGGAUGACUCUGGUAAGAUCAACUGGAUCAAGGCCUAUUCGAUCCCAAUGACCCCAUAUACUAGUCGUUAUAUGCCGCUGAUGGUGAUGCCUGGAGGUGGGAAGCUUCUACUGCAAUGCCAUGGUCCUGCCCAAUCAGUGAUACUUCAAAUUUACGAUCCUCGCACCAAUACAAGCACGCAUGUUAUGAAGGCACCAAAACAGCUUGGAGAUAGAAUUGCCAUUUGCAACUUUCGCUUCCAUCGUCGUGUCUCGGCCAAUAAUUAA